GCUCCGUUGGUGAACCAGCGGAGGGACCAUUACCGAGUUUACAACUCCCAAACCCAAUGUGAACCAUACCAAACUGUUGCCUCGGCGGGGUCACGCCCCGGGUGCGUCGCAGCCCCGGAACCAGGCGCCCGCCGGAGGGACCAACCAAACUCUUUCUGUAGUCCCCUCGCGGACGUUAUUUUUACAGCUCUGAGCAAAAAUUCAAAAUGAAUCAAAACUUUCAACAACGGAUCUCUUGGUUCUG
This 244-nucleotide unclassified non-coding RNA is filed under the name plant metagenome. RNAcentral's name for it is "partial contains small subunit ribosomal RNA, internal transcribed spacer 1, and 5.8S ribosomal RNA". The record is from RNAcentral.